This 228-nucleotide ribosomal RNA is filed under the name uncultured bacterium. RNAcentral's name for it is "partial 16S ribosomal RNA". It matches the Rfam family "Bacterial small subunit ribosomal RNA", at positions 103 to 334 of the family's 1533-position model. The record is from RNAcentral.
CGGGUGAGUAAUGUCUGGGAAACUGCCUGAUGGAGGGGGAUAACUGCUGGAAACGGUAGCUAAUACCGCAUAACGUCGCAAGACCAAAGAGGGGGACCUUCGGGCCUCUUGCCGUCGGAUGUGCCCAGAUGGGAUUAGCUAGUAGGUGAGGUAACGGCUCACCUAGGCGACGAUCCCUAGCUGGUCUGAGAGGAUGGCCAGCCACACUGGAACUGAGACACGGUCCAG